This 254-nucleotide ribosomal RNA is filed under the name uncultured bacterium. RNAcentral describes it as "partial 16S ribosomal RNA". It matches the Rfam family "Bacterial small subunit ribosomal RNA", at positions 524 to 776 of the family's 1533-position model. The record is from RNAcentral.
GACAGAGGUGCCGAGCGUUAGGCGGAAUCACUGGGCUUAAAGCGUGUGUAGGUGGAUGCCUAAGUACCUUGUGAAAUCCCACGGCUUAACCGUGGAACUGCUUGGUAUACUGGAUGUCUUGAGCCAGCUAGGGGCUACCGGAACAAAUGGUGGAGCGGUGAAAUGCGUAGAUAUCAGGAGGAACACCUAUUGCGAAGGCAGCUCGCUGGGACGUAACUGACGCCUGAGACGCGAAAGCGUGGGGAGCAAACAGG